RNAcentral lists this ribosomal RNA (468 nucleotides) under uncultured bacterium. RNAcentral describes it as "partial 16S ribosomal RNA". It matches the Rfam family "Bacterial small subunit ribosomal RNA", at positions 28 to 507 of the family's 1533-position model. The record is from RNAcentral.
GACGAACGCUGGCGGCGUGCUUAACACAUGCAAGUCGAACGGAAAGGCCCUGCUUUUGUUGGGUGCUCGAGUGGCGAACGGGUGAGUAACACGUGUGUAACCUGCCCUUGACUUUGGGAUAACUUCAGGAAACUCGGGCUAAUAUCGGAUAGGAUCUCCUGCUGCAUGGUGGGGGUUGGAAAGUUUCGGCGGUUGGGGCUGGACUCGCGGCUUAUCAGCUUGUUGGUGGGGUAGUGGCUUACCAAGGCUUUGACGGGUAGCCGGCCUGAGAGGGUGACCAGGCACAUUGGGACUGAGAUACGGCCCAGACUCCUACCGGAGGCAGCAGUGGGGAAUAUUGCACAAUGGCCGGAAGCCUGAUGCAGAAACGCCGCGUGCGGGAUGCGGGCCUACGGGUUGUAAACCGCUUUCGCCUGUGACGAAGCGUGAGUGACGGUAAUGGAUAAAGAAGCACCGGCUAACUACGUG